Molecule: ribosomal RNA, 497 nt
Filed under: uncultured bacterium
Lineage: Bacteria
Description: partial 16S ribosomal RNA
Rfam family: Bacterial small subunit ribosomal RNA
Source: RNAcentral
GAUGAACGCUGGCGGCGUGCCUAAUACAUGCAAGUCGAGCGAACAGACGAGGAGCUUGCUCCUCUGACGUUAGCGGCGGACGGGUGAGUAACACGUGGAUAACCUACCUAUAAGACUGGUAUAACUUCGGGAAACCGGAGCUAAUACCGGAUAAUAUAUUGAACCGCAUGGUUCAAUAGUGAAAGACGGUUUUGCUGUCACUUAUAGAUGGAUCCGCGCCGCAUUAGCUAGUUGGUAAGGUAACGGCUUACCAAGGCAACGAUGCGUAGCCGACCUGAGAGGGUGAUCGGCCACACUGGAACUGAGACACGGUCCAGACUACUACGGGAGGCAGCAGUAGGGAAUCUUACGCAAUGGGCGAAAGCCUGACGGAGCAACGCCGCGUGAGUGAUGAAGGUCUUCGGAUCGUAAAACUCUGUUAUUAGGGAAGAACAAAUGUGUAAGUAACUAUGCACGUCUUGACGGUACCUAAUCAGAAAGCCACGGCUAACUACGUG